AUGCGGUCCUGGUCAGAGAGUCAGGAAAUACUCAUCGUGCAUAAUGAAUGGCAUAGAUAUAGUAUUUUUGACUGUGAUAGCAACAAGAGACUACAGAACAGUGGAGUCAUGACUGAAGGUGAACAUAAUGGUCGGGUCAUACAUUUUUAUGGAACCUUGAAAGAGAUCAUUCAGUUGGACUACAAUUUGGAUGAUAGGUUCUAUUUAAAUGUGACUCGUUUAAACUUGAUGGAAAGAAUACUGGGCUACGAAAUGAUCGUUUUUUAA
RNAcentral lists this ribosomal RNA (267 nucleotides) under Triticum aestivum (bread wheat). RNAcentral describes it as "partial small subunit ribosomal RNA". Lineage: Eukaryota; Viridiplantae; Streptophyta; Magnoliopsida; Poales; Poaceae. The record is from RNAcentral.